AGCGAACGCUGGCGGCAGGCUUAACACAUGCAAGUCGAACGGGCGUAGCAAUACGUCAGUGGCAGACGGGUGAGUAACGCGUGGGAACGUACCUUUUGGUUCGGAACAACACAGGGAAACUUGUGCUAAAUACCGGAUAAGCCCUUACGGGGAAAGAUUUAUCGCCGAAAGAUCGGCCCGCGUCUGAUUAGCUAGUUGGUGAGGUAAUGGCUCACCAAGGCGACGAUCAGUAGCUGGUCUGAGAGGAUGAUCAGCCACACUGGGACUGAGACACGGCCCAGACUCCUACGGGAGGCAGCAGUGGGGAAUAUUGGACAAUGGGGGCAACCCUGAUCCAGCCAUGCCGCGUGAGUGAUGAAGGCCCUAGGGUUGUAAAGCUCUUUGUGCGGGAAGAUAAUGACGGUACGCAAGAAUAAGCCCGGCUAACUUCGUG
RNAcentral lists this ribosomal RNA (433 nucleotides) under uncultured bacterium. RNAcentral's name for it is "bacterial SSU rRNA". It matches the Rfam family "Bacterial small subunit ribosomal RNA", at positions 29 to 507 of the family's 1533-position model. The record is from RNAcentral.